CGAGCAUCGAUGGAAACCUACCCAAACAAAAAGCCCACCCACAAAACUGAACUAUUUAAAAAAGGAAAUGGCUGCAAAUGUCUACAUCUUCUCCCCAAUCCGGUCCAGUUCGUUCCGAUUCGACGUUCUUUUCCCGAAAUCCCACUUACAACCAAUUUUCAACUCUCCCAGCUGCUCGCUCUCUGUUGCCCGUAGUAGUACUACUACUAGCUUUGGUUUGAGACUCAGUGCGACCAGACUACCGAACCGGGACCCGAAACCGCCUGCCGCCCUUAUGCUACCGGCAAACCCUGUCGCCUCCGAUAUCUUCGCUGCCGGCUUGUCCGGUUGCAUCGCGCUCUCCUUGCUCCGGUUAUGGGCGGAAACCGCCAACCGGCGGAUCUUCGACCAGAAAUUGAAUAGGAAGCUUGUGCAUAUAAGCGUGGGGCUAGCUUUCAUGCUUUGCUGGCCACUGUUCAGUCCUGGUCGUCGCGGAGCCAUCUUAGCAGCUCUUAUCCCAGGCAUCAAUAUCAUACAAAUGCUUCUCUUGGGACUUGGGAUCAUGAAAGAUGAGGCUAUUGUGAAGUCAAUGAGCAGAAACGGAGACUAUAGGGAACUUCUUAAGGGACCACUCUACUAUGCUGCAACAAUCACUUUGACUUGCAUGAUUUAUUGGAGAACUUCCCCUAUUACAAUUGCGGCAAUUUGUAACCUCUGUGCUGGGGAUGGUUUAGCAGACAUUAUUGGAAGGCGGUUCGGUAGUCAUAAAAUUCCAUACAACAAAAACAAGUCUGUAGCUGGUAGUGUUGCAAUGGCAUCUGCUGGGUUUUUAGCAUCUCUUGGGUAUAUGCACUAUUUCUCCUCAUUUGGAUUUCUUCAAAAAAGUUCGGAAAUGGUUAUGGGUUUUUUGGUUGUCUCUCUUGCCUCGGCACUGGUGGAAUCACUCCCUAUAAGUACUGAGCUUGAUGACAAUCUCACAGUUCCCUUGACUUCCAUCUUGGUGGGCACUCUUGUUUUCUGAUUUCAGGAGAUGGAGAGUGCAAAAUUGAACAGAGGGAAGAGGCUGGAGUAAUUGAAUCUAGAGAUCGUUCAGGACACAAUAUUGCAACUUCAAGCGUGCUUCUUUCUGCUAACAGUCUGCCUCAAAUUUCAAUUCCAAGGGAUGUUGAUCUAAACUCAAGAAGAAUUAUACUAGCAAACCUGGUCUAUUUAUUAGUUGAUGCGUCAAGUCUCUAUAUCCUCCAAUGAUGUGUUAAAACUCAAGUCUCUAGUCGAUUUCGCGCACUCCCCUUGCACCCCAUUACCUGGCAUGCCACUUGCAACAUAAAACGGGGCGUCUUAAUUUCGAGCUGGAGACGAAAUUAUCAAAUUAACAGCUAGCGGGGGUGAUUGGAGUGUGCACCUUUGUCUUCCCAAACUGGUCAAGAGGAAUUCAAGAACGUGGGCACAGCUGCAUCUCGGGAGGGAAAGAGGAGAACGGUGGUUCUUCAGGUAUUGGCCGAAGGUGUUCCACUCCUGACUCUUCUUGUUUUCGUAGCAGCUGCUAGGAGCAGAAGCUGUUGAAGAAGAGCUUGCAGCAGUUAAGCUGUUAUUGAUAGUAAUAGAAUCAGUGAUGCUAGUGUUCUCGGAGUUGGAACUCUCCAUUAAUUCUGGGAGUGAAUCCAUGGAUCUAUUUUGGGUUUUUGUUUGGUUUUUCUUGAAUCUUAGAGCAACAGUAGCUUUUUUCCUAGGAAAUUGUGAUAAUGUUGUAUU
Molecule: RNA transcript, 1731 nt
Organism: Juglans regia (Persian walnut)
Lineage: Eukaryota; Viridiplantae; Streptophyta; Magnoliopsida; Fagales; Juglandaceae
Gene name: probable phytol kinase 3, chloroplastic
Exons: 8
Source: RefSeq, a predicted model, not a curated record